UAAUACGUAGGGGGCAAGCGUUGUCCGGAAUCAUUGGGCGUAAAGAGCGUGUAGGCGGCCAGAAAAGUCCGCUGUGAAAACUCGAGGCUCAACUUCGAGCUGUCGGUGGAAACUUUCUGGCUAGAGUCCGGAAGAGGAGAAUGGAAUUCCUGGUGUAGCGGUGAAAUGCGCAGAUAUCAGGAAGAACACCCGUGGCGAAGGCGGUUCUCUGGGACGGUACUGA
This 223-nucleotide ribosomal RNA is filed under the name uncultured bacterium. Its description in RNAcentral is "partial 16S ribosomal RNA". It matches the Rfam family "Bacterial small subunit ribosomal RNA", at positions 521 to 743 of the family's 1533-position model. The record is from RNAcentral.